Molecule: ribosomal RNA, 33 nt
Filed under: uncultured fungus
Lineage: Eukaryota; Fungi
Description: partial 18S ribosomal RNA
Source: RNAcentral
GUAGGUGAACACCUUUUCCAGGUUCGCCCAAAU